UACGUAGGGUGCGAGCGUUAAUCGGAAUUACUGGGCGUAAAGCGUGCGCAGGCGGUUCGUUGUGUCGGCGGUGAAAGCCCCGGGCUCAACCUGGGAAUGGCCGUUGAAACUGGCGAACUGGAGUGUGGCAGAGGGGGGUGGAAUUCCGCGUGUAGCAGUGAAAUGCGUAGAGAUGCGGAGGAACAUCGAUGGCGAAGGCAGCCCCCUGGGCUGACACUGACGCUCAGGCACGAAAGCGUGGGGAGCAAACAGG
This 253-nucleotide ribosomal RNA is filed under the name uncultured bacterium. RNAcentral's name for it is "partial 16S ribosomal RNA". It matches the Rfam family "Bacterial small subunit ribosomal RNA", at positions 524 to 776 of the family's 1533-position model. The record is from RNAcentral.